UAUUUUUGCAGUUGGUCUUCCUAUGUUGAAACAUUCAUUAUGGCUUUGACUAAUAUCAGUAUUUGGAUUUUAUUACUUAAUGGUGUCACCCUAAGCUUUGCAGUUCAUAUUCUCCUCUCUCCUUCAUCCCUUCUCUGUUCUGCUUGGACAAAAUGCUCAGUUCUUCUGUAUUGUGGAGGAAGGAGAAGGCUGUAGAAUUUUAAAGUUGCACUGGCAUCACAGGAACAUGCAUCCAGCUGGCACUGAGGCCAAAGAAAAUAAACUCCUUACUGAAGGUCGCUUUAAUAUUACCAAACGCUCAAACAUCAGCAGCAGUCUGUUCAUUACAAACGUGGGGUUUUGUGACAUCGGUCACAUCAUAUGUUCAGCCUAUUGUAUACAAAAAACAAUAGUGUCCAUUAACAAGAGCUCCCUACUGUCAGUGAAAGCGGUUCCCAAACUGAACAUUUUUUACCAGACAUCAGUUGAUGAUCCCAGUGUACUGACACUGACUUGCAUCGCUGAAGGUUUCUACCCCUCUGAUAUAACUCUGUCCUGGGUCCUUACUGUCCAAGAGGUGCCCCACAGCAGGGAGCAAACACCUGCCACUCUCCUUCAGGAUGGGACCUACAACAUCAGUUCAACACUUCAGGUCAAAGAUUCUCUUUGGAGCCCCGAGGUGGAGAUUGGUUGUAAAGCAAAUCACAGUUCUCUGACACAGCCAUUGAUGAAGAGAAUUAGAAAAAGAGAUGAAAAUAAAGCUUGUGCCAAAAAGAUGCAUGAAAAGGAGGACCUCUUGUAUACUUCAGUUCAGUAUGUGAGAACAUCAAAAGACGUGUAUCUGGUCUGUAAGAAUGAAGACAUUGCUAAUGAACAUAAGGAUACCUUUACCUCUACUAUACAGUACCAAUGAUGUCUAACAACACAAAUAAAA
Molecule: non-coding RNA, 913 nt
Organism: Polypterus senegalus (gray bichir)
Lineage: Eukaryota; Metazoa; Chordata; Cladistia; Polypteriformes; Polypteridae
Source: the annotation of a RefSeq genome assembly